Molecule: long non-coding RNA, 1065 nt
Organism: Notolabrus celidotus (New Zealand spotty)
Lineage: Eukaryota; Metazoa; Chordata; Actinopteri; Labriformes; Labridae
Exons: 2
Source: RefSeq, a predicted model, not a curated record
GAUUUAGUUAUUGUUUGACUGCGCAUGUGCAGCACCAUUUGUACGGCUAGACAGCCUGCGUCACGACAGUUGAAGAUUGCAAUACAGUGAAACACUACACGUGGAAGACCGUCUCCGUCCUCACUUCAUUAUUAAGUGUUAAUAAGAUAAACACUUCACAUGGUGUCAGAAGUGGGAUGGAUGUGGGCCCGCCCCAGGAUGAAGCCUUCAGACAGUUCUUUGCAUUCCUGACCACACUGUGCUACGCAGGCAGCACUUACCUGAGCUACCGUUCCUGGAGAGCCACAGAGGUGGGACAAUAAUCUCAUCACUUUGUGUCCAUCGGACUCUUCCUGGAGGACAUUUCUGAUGGAGAUCUAUCCCUUCAGACCAGGAUGAGACUGAAGUUAAACUAAAAACUAAUACAAAGAAGAAGAAACUAUAAUAUGUCUAUGAUGGAAUACCUUUUUGUUUGCAUGUUUUGUUUUUAUUUUCUAGGCAGAAAUGUAAGAAGAGGAAGACAGAUUUUGUGCUCACCUUAACUUACCAGCAAAGUUAAGAAAGUACAUUAAAAACACAAGUAGUUAACAACAGCUUAAUAUUUAUUUGAUGUGAGGUUGAUGUUCUUCUAAUCAGAGCAACUCUACACACAGUCACUUUUAAGUUCACACAGUGAGACACAGGACAGCGCUAAGACACCAAAUUCAGAAUAACUCAGCACCUCAACAUAAACAAGGUCAAGUAGAAACAAAGACAAAUCAACAAAGACAAAAAGAAUUUGCUCUGUAAUGAUUUUUAUUGCUAACACUAAAUUUUGGAUUGCACAGCAGCAUGAUCAUAUGAUUAUGUGUAUCAUUCAAUCUUUGAACCACAUCUCUCAAUGAAUUUGUUUUAUAUUCCAAACCUAGCAGUCACCAGAGGAAACCUAAUACCCGUGUCGUCUCACCUUUCAUAACUUGGCAAGAGGCCGGCUCAGGAGGAGUUCCAUGUGCUCAUAGCUGAUAAUUAUAUAAUUCAUGCAGUUGAUGUUAAACUAAUAGCUCAAUUAAUUUCUCUUUCUUUAUGUGAUUAAAAAUAAUUAUAUAA